CACGUAGGGUGCAAGCGUUGUCCGGAUUCAUUGGGCGUAAAGGGCUAGUAGGCGGCUUAGCAAGUCGGGUGUGAAAACUUCAGGCUCAACCUGGAGCGGCCAUCCGAUACUGCUAUGGCUAGAGUCCGGUAGGGGACCACGGAAUUCCUGGUGUAGCGGUGAAAUGCGCAGAUAUCAGGAGGAACACCGGUGGCGAAGGCAGAUCUCUGGGCCGUAACUGACGCUGAGGAGCGAAAGCAUGGGGAGCGAACAGG
Molecule: ribosomal RNA, 254 nt
Filed under: uncultured bacterium
Lineage: Bacteria
Description: partial 16S ribosomal RNA
Rfam family: Bacterial small subunit ribosomal RNA
Source: RNAcentral